This 30-nucleotide non-coding RNA is filed under the name Mus musculus (house mouse). The record is from RNAcentral. Lineage: Eukaryota; Metazoa; Chordata; Mammalia; Rodentia; Muridae.
UGCCUAACGUUGUAACAGCCAUAUCUAUGA